UAACGGGUAGUGCUAACUGAGUGAGGGU
Molecule: non-coding RNA, 28 nt
Filed under: Bombyx mori (domestic silkworm)
Lineage: Eukaryota; Metazoa; Arthropoda; Insecta; Lepidoptera; Bombycidae
Source: RNAcentral